UACGAAGGUGGCAAGCGUUGUUCGGAUUUACUGGGCGUACAGGGAGCGUAGGCGGUUGGGUAAGCCCUCCGUGAAAUCUCCAGGCUUAACCUGGAAAGUGCAGAGGGGACUGCUCGGCUAGAGGAUGGGAGAGGAGCGCGGAAGUCCCGGUGUAGCGGUGAAAUGCGUAGAGAUCGGGAGGAAGGCCGGUGGCGAAGGCGGCGCUCUGGAACAUUUCUGACGCUGAGGCUCGAAAGCGUGGGGAGCAAACAGG
This 253-nucleotide ribosomal RNA is filed under the name uncultured bacterium. RNAcentral describes it as "partial 16S ribosomal RNA". It matches the Rfam family "Bacterial small subunit ribosomal RNA", at positions 524 to 776 of the family's 1533-position model. The record is from RNAcentral.